This 468-nucleotide ribosomal RNA is filed under the name uncultured bacterium. Its description in RNAcentral is "partial 16S ribosomal RNA". It matches the Rfam family "Bacterial small subunit ribosomal RNA", at positions 28 to 507 of the family's 1533-position model. The record is from RNAcentral.
GACGAACGCUGGCGGCGUGCUUAACACAUGCAAGUCGAACGGAAAGGCCCUGCUUUUGUGGGGUGCUCGAGUGGCGAACGGGUGAGUAACACGUGAGUAACCUGCCCUUGACUUUGGGAUAACUUCAGGAAACUGGGGCUAAUACCGGAUAGGAGCUCCUGCUGCAUGGUGGGGGUUGGAAAGUUUCGGCGGUUGGGGAUGGACUCGCGGCUUAUCAGCUUGUUGGUGGGGUAGUGGCUUACCAAGGCUUUGACGGGUAGCCGGCCUGAGAGGGUGACCGGCCACAUUGGGCCUGCGAUACGGCCCAGACUCCUACGGGAGGCAGCAGUGGGGAAUAUUGCACAAUGGGCGGAAGCCUGAUGCAGCAACGCCGCGUGCGGGAUGACGGCCUUCGGGUUGUAAACCGCUUUCGCUUGUGACGAAGCGUGAGUGACGGUAAUGGGUAAAGAAGCACCGGCUAACUACGUG